This is a long non-coding RNA of Thamnophis elegans (Western terrestrial garter snake), 676 nucleotides long. RefSeq lists it as uncharacterized. The transcript has 2 exons. The record is from RefSeq and is a predicted model, not a curated record. NCBI's taxonomy places the organism in Eukaryota, Metazoa, Chordata, Lepidosauria, Squamata, Natricidae.
GUUAAUCGAAGCAAUCAUUCUAUCUUGGUUUCACAUUGUAACAGCUGCACAACUAAAAGACUUGGUUCACUCCAUGGAAAGAUGUUAUAAGGCCAUAAUUCCUGCUAAAGGUUACCCAAUUAAGUAUUAACUGACACGGUGAUAAUAAUUUAUCUCGUUUUUUUCUACAUGUCUUCACUUUUCUUCUUUAUAACUCCUAUUCUAAUAGCAAAUCCUUCACAGAAGUUAUUGCAUUACAUUCUUGAUUUAAUUAUCUUUCCAUUGAUAUAUAAUUUUACAGUAAUUACUCCCCCCCAAAAGUGGUGUUGUUAGCCAUCAAACCUCAAAAAUACUGUACACUUUUCCCCAAAAAGUCUCCACAAUUUUGGCCACUACGGGUCGUGUCCCUAAAGUUACGCUUCUGUUCCAUUGAAACAUCUGGCUUCCCGAAACAGAAUAAGAAAGAAAGAAAAACACUCACGAUGGUCGCUUCGCUCAGAAUGCUGUUUAAGGAAACUCUAAUACCCCUUUGAUCGAGGGCACAUAUAUUUGCUGCCCGGCCUUAACUCCCCAUGGAAUUAUGGGCUUUUUUCCUGGAGUAGAGUGGGUCUCUUUUGACAAGGGGGCAGCCCCCCCCCCUCCUUCCCAAAGGGCUGUUCUAGAGCCUUCACAGUCGACGUUAAAAAUGACAACACAC